Molecule: ribosomal RNA, 324 nt
Filed under: uncultured eukaryote
Lineage: Eukaryota
Description: partial 18S ribosomal RNA
Rfam family: Eukaryotic small subunit ribosomal RNA
Source: RNAcentral
CCCUUAGAUGUUCUGGGCUGCACGCGCGCUACACUGAAGCUAUCAACACGUUUUCCCUCCCUGAGAAGGGCGGGUAACCUUUUGAAUCAGCUUCGUGGUAGGGAUCGGGGCUUGCAAUUGUUCCCCGUGAACCAGGAAUUCCUAGUAGACGCGAGUCAUAAGCUCGCAUCGAUUAAGUCCCUGCCCUUUGUACACACCGCCCGUCGCUACUACCGAUUGAACGUUUUAGUGAGGCAUUUGGACCGACGCAUCUCAGUUUAACCGCUGGUUUGUGUUGGAAAGAUUUCCAAACUUGAGCGUUUAGAGGAAGUAAAAGUCGUAACA